This 241-nucleotide ribosomal RNA is filed under the name uncultured bacterium. Its description in RNAcentral is "partial 16S ribosomal RNA". It matches the Rfam family "Bacterial small subunit ribosomal RNA", at positions 791 to 1035 of the family's 1533-position model. The record is from RNAcentral.
UAGUCCACGCUGUAAACGAUGAGUGCUAGGUGUCGGGGGUGACCUCGGUGCCGCAGUUAACACAAUAAGCACUCCGCCUGGGGAGUACGUACGCAAGUAUGAAACUCAAAGGAAUUGACGGGGACCCGCACAAGCAGCGGAGCAUGUGGUUUAAUUCGAAGCAACGCGAAGAACCUUACCAGGACUUGACAUAAUGGUGACCGGUAUAGAGAUAUACCUUUCUCUUCGGAGACAGUAUUAC